GACGAACGCUGGCGGCGUGCUUAACACAUGCAAGUCGAACGGAAAGGCCCUGCUUUUGUGGGGUGCUCGAGUGGCGAACGGGUGAGUAACACGUGAGUAACCUGCCCUUGACUUUGGGAUAACUUCACGAAACUGGGGCUAAUACCGGAUAGGAGCUCCUGCUGCAUGGUGGGGGUUGGAAAGUUUCGGCGGCUGGGGAUGGACUCGCGGCUUAUCAGCUUGUUGGUGGGGUAGUGGCUUACCAAGGCUUUGACGGGUAGCCGGCCUGAGAGGGUGACCGGCCACAUUGGGACUGAGAUACGGCCCAGACUCCUACGGGAGGCAGCAGUGGGGAAUAUUGCACAAUGGGCGGAAGCCUGAUGCAGCAACGCCGCGUGCGGGAUGACGGCCUUCGGGUUGUAAACCGCUUUCGCCUGUGACGAAGCGUGAGUGACGGUAAUGGGUAAAGAAGCACCGGCUAACUACGUG
RNAcentral lists this ribosomal RNA (468 nucleotides) under uncultured bacterium. RNAcentral describes it as "partial 16S ribosomal RNA". It matches the Rfam family "Bacterial small subunit ribosomal RNA", at positions 28 to 507 of the family's 1533-position model. The record is from RNAcentral.